RNAcentral lists this ribosomal RNA (482 nucleotides) under uncultured bacterium. Its description in RNAcentral is "bacterial SSU rRNA". It matches the Rfam family "Bacterial small subunit ribosomal RNA", at positions 29 to 506 of the family's 1533-position model. The record is from RNAcentral.
AUGAACGCUAGCGGCAGGCUUAAUACAUGCAAGUCGAGGGGCAGCGGGUGUAGCAAUACAUGCCGGCGACCGGCGCACGGGUGCGUAACGCGUAUGCAACCUACCUUUAACUGGAGAAUAGCCCCGAGAAAUCGGGAUUAAUACUCCAUAACAUUGCGAAUUGACAUCUUUUUGCAAUUAAAGCUCAGGCGGUUAAAGAUGGGCAUGCGUGACAUUAGUUUGUUGGUGAGGUAACGGCUCACCAAGACUACGAUGUCUAGGGGUUCUGAGAGGAUUAUCCCCCACACUGGUACUGAGACACGGACCAGACUCCUACGGGAGGCAGCAGUAAGGAAUAUUGGGCAAUGGACGCAAGUCUGACCCAGCCAUGCCGCGUGAAGGAUGACGGCCCUAUGGGUUGUAAACUUCUUUUGUACGGGAAAAAACCCCCCGACGUGUCGGGGGCUGAUGGUACCGUAAGAAUAAGCAUCGGCUAACUCCGU